AUUGAACGCUGGCGGCAUGCCUUACACAUGCAAGUCGAACGGCAGCACGGGAGCAAUCCUGGUGGCGAGUGGCGAACGGGUGAGUAAUAUAUCGGAACGUGCCCAGUCGUGGGGAUAACGUAGCGAAAGCUACGCUAAUACCGCAUACGAUCUAUGGAUGAAAGCGGGGGAUCGCAAGACCUCGCGCGAUUGGAGCGGCCGAUAUCAGAUUAGGUAGUUGGUGAGGUAAAGGCUCACCAAGCCGACGAUCUGUAGCUGGUCUGAGAGGACGACCAGCCACACUGGGACUGAGACACGGCCCAGACUCCUAACGGGAGGCAGCAGUGGGGAAUUUUGGACAAUGGGCGCAAGCCUGAUCCAGCAAUGCCGCGUGCAGGAUGAAGGCCU
Molecule: ribosomal RNA, 387 nt
Filed under: uncultured bacterium
Lineage: Bacteria
Description: bacterial SSU rRNA
Rfam family: Bacterial small subunit ribosomal RNA
Source: RNAcentral